GUCCACGCUGUAAACGAUGAGCACUAGGUGUCGUGGGUAUUGACCCCGCGGUGCCGCAGCUAACGCAUUAAGUGCUCCGCCUGGGGACUACGGCCGCAAGGUUAAAACUCAAAGGAAUUGACGGGGCCCGCACAAGCGGUGGAGCAUGUGGUUCAAUUCGACGCAACGCGAAGAACCUUACCUGGGCUAGACAACGGAGGCCAGCCCCAGAGAUGGGGUCUUCCCUUCGGGGACUUCCGGUUCAGGUGCUGCAUGGCUGUCGU
Molecule: ribosomal RNA, 263 nt
Filed under: uncultured bacterium
Lineage: Bacteria
Description: partial 16S ribosomal RNA
Rfam family: Bacterial small subunit ribosomal RNA
Source: RNAcentral